RNAcentral lists this ribosomal RNA (1502 nucleotides) under Acinetobacter baumannii. Its description in RNAcentral is "bacterial SSU rRNA". It matches the Rfam family "Bacterial small subunit ribosomal RNA". The record is from RNAcentral. Lineage: Bacteria; Pseudomonadati; Pseudomonadota; Gammaproteobacteria; Moraxellales; Moraxellaceae.
GGCUCAGAUUGAACGCUGGCGGCAGGCUUAACACAUGCAAGUCGAGCGGGGGAAGGUAGCUUGCUACUGGACCUAGCGGCGGACGGGUGAGUAAUGCUUAGGAAUCUGCCUAUUAGUGGGGGACAACAUCUCGAAAGGGAUGCUAAUACCGCAUACGUCCUACGGGAGAAAGCAGGGGAUCUUCGGACCUUGCGCUAAUAGAUGAGCCUAAGUCGGAUUAGCUAGUUGGUGGGGUAAAGGCCUACCAAGGCGACGAUCUGUAGCGGGUCUGAGAGGAUGAUCCGCCACACUGGGACUGAGACACGGCCCAGACUCCUACGGGAGGCAGCAGUGGGGAAUAUUGGACAAUGGGGGGAACCCUGAUCCAGCCAUGCCGCGUGUGUGAAGAAGGCCUUAUGGUUGUAAAGCACUUUAAGCGAGGAGGAGGCUACUCUAGUUAAUACCUAGAGAUAGUGGACGUUACUCGCAGAAUAAGCACCGGCUAACUCUGUGCCAGCAGCCGCGGUAAUACAGAGGGUGCGAGCGUUAAUCGGAUUUACUGGGCGUAAAGCGUGCGUAGGCGGCUUAUUAAGUCGGAUGUGAAAUCCCCGAGCUUAACUUGGGAAUUGCAUUCGAUACUGGUGAGCUAGAGUAUGGGAGAGGAUGGUAGAAUUCCAGGUGUAGCGGUGAAAUGCGUAGAGAUCUGGAGGAAUACCGAUGGCGAAGGCAGCCAUCUGGCCUAAUACUGACGCUGAGGUACGAAAGCAUGGGGAGCAAACAGGAUUAGAUACCCUGGUAGUCCAUGCCGUAAACGAUGUCUACUAGCCGUUGGGGCCUUUGAGGCUUUAGUGGCGCAGCUAACGCGAUAAGUAGACCGCCUGGGGAGUACGGUCGCAAGACUAAAACUCAAAUGAAUUGACGGGGGCCCGCACAAGCGGUGGAGCAUGUGGUUUAAUUCGAUGCAACGCGAAGAACCUUACCUGGCCUUGACAUACUAGAAACUUUCCAGAGAUGGAUUGGUGCCUUCGGGAAUCUAGAUACAGGUGCUGCAUGGCUGUCGUCAGCUCGUGUCGUGAGAUGUUGGGUUAAGUCCCGCAACGAGCGCAACCCUUUUCCUUACUUGCCAGCAUUUCGGAUGGGAACUUUAAGGAUACUGCCAGUGACAAACUGGAGGAAGGCGGGGACGACGUCAAGUCAUCAUGGCCCUUACGGCCAGGGCUACACACGUGCUACAAUGGUCGGUACAAAGGGUUGCUACACAGCGAUGUGAUGCUAAUCUCAAAAAGCCGAUCGUAGUCCGGAUUGGAGUCUGCAACUCGACUCCAUGAAGUCGGAACCGCUAGUAAUCGCGGAUCAGAAUGCCGCGGUGAAUACGUUCCCGGGCCUUGUACACACCGCCCGUCACACCAUGGGAGUUUGUUGCACCAGAAGUAGCUAGCCUAACUGCAAAGAGGGCGGUUACCACGGUGUGGCCGAUGACUGGGGUGAAGUCGUAACAAGGUAGCCGUAGGGGAACCUGCGGU